UACGGGGGGGAGCAAGCGUUGUUCGGAUUUACUGGGCGUAAAGGGCGCGUAGGCGGUCGUGACAAGUCACUUGUGAAAUCUCCGGGCUUAACUCGGAACGGUCAAGUGAUACUGUCGGACUAGAGUACAGAAGGGGCAACUGGAAUUCUCGGUGUAGCGGUGAAAUGCGUAGAUAUCGAGAGGAACACCAGUGGCGCAAGCGGCUGACUGGCCGAGACCUGACGCUGAGACACGACGGCGUGGGGAGCAAACCGG
RNAcentral lists this ribosomal RNA (255 nucleotides) under uncultured bacterium. RNAcentral describes it as "partial 16S ribosomal RNA". It matches the Rfam family "Bacterial small subunit ribosomal RNA", at positions 524 to 776 of the family's 1533-position model. The record is from RNAcentral.